This 519-nucleotide long non-coding RNA is filed under the name Takifugu rubripes (torafugu). Its description in RNAcentral is "lncRNA (ENSTRUG00000028704.1)". The record is from RNAcentral. Lineage: Eukaryota; Metazoa; Chordata; Actinopteri; Tetraodontiformes; Tetraodontidae.
ACUCAGAAAGUUGGUCACCAAGGCCAAGGCUGCUCUGAUCCAAGAUGUUGGGUAGUGCUUUUCUUUUUUAAUGAUGAUGCCCUUUUUUAUUUGCUCUCUCACUUCAUAGGUCAUCAUGAACAUCAAUAUUGGGACUCUAUAUAUCAACGGUGUCACUGCCUGCUCUUCUGCUCUCGUGCUGAGGUGGAAAAUUCCACUCCCUCUGUCACGCCCCCCCCCCCCCUCCUCCUCCUCCUCCUCCUCCUCCUCCUCCUCCACACCCAUCUGAUCAGCCUUCACCAUUUUCACCUGCUGCUCCCUCUUAGCCAGGUGUUAUUGCACCAUGGCCUUGGACUUCUCUUAUCUGUUGCUGCCCUUACAACAGAGAGCCUGCUGCUGGUUCUUUCAUACCUGCUUUCUUUGAGAAUGACAGAUCACUUAUUUCCUCAAACAAAAUACCACCAAACCAAAGAGGUUGUCAGAAAAGAGAAUUCUUCAAGUUCUUCCUGUUUGGGAUGGUUCUCCUGGCUCAGUGGUUAA